GAGUGGAGGAAGAGCAGGGGGGUUUCUCCUGACGUCUACUAUCAUCUCCACAGUUUUCAGCGUGUUGAGCUCCAGGUUGUUGUGACUGCACCAGACAGCCAG
This is a long non-coding RNA of Sinocyclocheilus rhinocerous, 102 nucleotides long. RefSeq lists it as uncharacterized. Lineage: Eukaryota; Metazoa; Chordata; Actinopteri; Cypriniformes; Cyprinidae. The transcript is spliced from 3 exons. The record is from RefSeq and is a predicted model, not a curated record.